Molecule: ribosomal RNA, 492 nt
Filed under: uncultured bacterium
Lineage: Bacteria
Description: partial 16S ribosomal RNA
Rfam family: Bacterial small subunit ribosomal RNA
Source: RNAcentral
AGUGAACGCUGGCGGUAGGCCUAACACAUGCAAGUCGAACGGCAGCACAGUAAGAGCUUGCUCUUACGGGUGGCGAGUGGCGGACGGGUGAGGAAUACAUCGGAAUCUACUUUUUCGUGGGGGAUAACGUAGGGAAACUUACGCUAAUACCGCAUACGACCUACGGGUGAAAGCAGGGGAUCUUCGGACCUUGCGCGAUUGAAUGAGCCGAUGUCGGAUUAGCUAGUUGGCGGGGUAAAGGCCCACCAAGGCGACGAUCCGUAGCUGGUCUGAGAGGAUGAUCAGCCACACUGGAACUGAGACACGGUCCAGACUCCUACGGGAGACAGCAGUGGUGAAUAUUGGACAAUGGGCGCAAGCCUGAUCCAGCCAUACCGCGUGGGUGAAGAAGGCCUUCGGGUUGUAAAGCCCUUUUGUUGGGAAAGAAAAGCAGCAGGUUAAUACCCCGCUGUUCUGACGGUACCCAAAGAAUAAGCACCGGCUAACUUCGUG